This 5092-nucleotide long non-coding RNA is filed under the name Bemisia tabaci. RNAcentral's name for it is "lncRNA ENSSSA3NGG006068". The record is from RNAcentral. Lineage: Eukaryota; Metazoa; Arthropoda; Insecta; Hemiptera; Aleyrodidae.
AUGAUGAACUCAAAGGCCCAAAGCCUGGUCAUCUCGAACACGGAGGAGACGAUCGCAAAGGCCCUGCACUUACUGCAGAGCUUGAGCGAGAAUGUGACGGAGUUCAACCGUCGCUUCCAGGAGCGGGUCAACGACAAUGACCGGAACAUGUCGAUUGUCCUCGACAAAUUGAUACAUGAGAACAACAUAGAGAUCGCACUCACUUCUUUGGUGUAUUUCUCGAUCGAGACCCAGCACGCCAUCACGGAGUUCAGGAACGCCAUACAGACCUCCCUAAGUCGAGUUCUCUCGCCCAUCCUUAUCCCUUCUGAUGUCCUUAUCGAGAUUUUGGAGAAGAUUAGGAACUGCCUGGAGAAGCCUUUGGAGUUGAUCGUGCCUGGAACCCACUCGACUGUGCAUACUUAUUACGAGUUGUCAAAGGUGUCUUUAGGAGUCGUGGGCGAGGAGCUGAUAAUAACAGUGACGUUACCAAUUUCUGACGUUUCCGGACAAUUUCAAAUGUACAAAAUUGUGUCGAUACCAUGGCUUAUGAACAGAACAGACAUUUUUAUUCAGUGGGAGGUCGCAGACUACUUCAUCAUCGACGAAAGUCGAAAGUUCCACGCCGCCAUCACCUCGUCCCAAAGGGAGCAGUGUCAGGGCAAACAUAUUACAAUUUGCCCCAUCUCCACCGCCCUCUACACGGAGACGAGUCCCAUUUGCGAAUUCUCCCUCUUCAUGGGCGAGCACAAUCAACUCUGCAUGAAGACGGUUGACAAGCUGAAAAAUAACAUAAUCAAAUCAAUUCCGUCUGCGUGGGUUGUGUCCGUCGUGCAGCCAACCAGUCUGACCCUAAUCUGCCCGAACCACACAAUUUACAACGAAAAAGUCGAGGGGAGUUUCCUGAUAAAAAACGCAACCGAGUGCGAGAUUCUCAGUCGAUACUUCAAGCUCCAACGGGUCAUCGGAAAUAACAUGAGCAUUCAAGCGGACUUCAAACUUCUAGCCAUCCCCAAAAUCCACAUCCUGAACGAGGACGAGCGGAUCCAAGUCAUCGAUAUUGGAAUUGACGACAAGUUGACGGAUAAAAUCAAGUCGGUCAUCGAGCAGAAUGAAAAGGCAACUUCCUUUUCGGCCAUGCUCCACGAAGUGAGCAAGUACUACGAUGAGCCUUUCAUGGAGCCGAUGACGGCAUUUGCAGGAACCAUCAGUCUUUACUGUCUAGCUGUAGGAGUGAGCGUUUUUAUGCUGUUUUUUAAAUUCAGAAAAUAUUGAAGCUAUCUCAUCGCGGUACUCCUCAUGUUACAUUACAAGUGAAAAAUAUCGGGCAGAGCCCUCGAGAGGUGUCCGUCUAGUAUCAGUGGCCAUUUUGCAAGUUGGCAACACCGUUUUCCUUCCAUUUGAAUCCAUGAAAAUAUCGAUAUUAAAUGAGGCCAGCUGCCUCACUAGGAAUCGAUUGUUUUACAUUUAUUCAAAUGGAGGAGAAAAUAAUGUUGCAAACUUUCAAGAUUAGUAAUACUGUCACGAUCGUUGCCAAAUUUAGUUUGAUACAACAUAACUAUGCCAAAAACUAGUUAAUUUUGUCUAAUUUUCAAGAAAAUUUUCUCCGCAGUUUGAAUGUAAUUAUCUGGAAAUUUCAAGGAAAUAUAUUUAAAACUUUCCUCAGAAACAAAUAUUAUGUCGAAAAUAAUUUGAACAAAUGCGAAAUUUCAUACAUUGUUUUUCCACAGCGCGGCAUAAUAGAGUUCAGUGUUUCAAUAGACUUUUAAACCUUUCAUCCUCGCCAAGGGUUUAAAAAAGAAAAUUAGUGCAAUGAAUGAUUUUCUGUGUGGAAUUGAACCGUAUUCUAUCCAAUUCAAUUCAGUUUUUGAAAGAUGAGAGAACCAUGUUUUAUCGGCUCCUUCCAACGAGUCUUUCUCAAAUAAAAUGUAAAUGGAAAGAACUCUUAAGAAUAACCAUACUUAGAAGAAUGCGAACACUGUGGUACCAUAAUUCAAAAUUUCAAAUCUCUAAAUAAUUCCAACUCAAAAAAGAAAAAUUCCACUUGAUGAGUUGUUGAGUCGGUAGCUUUGAAAUGCUUGAGGCCGAAAUUCAUAAAAUAAGGUGUUUACUGGGGGCUCUUGAUUAAUAAUUUUGUUCAAAAUUGAAACUUUGGAAAUAGAGUGUCUACUACAGUAAUUAUUUUACUCCAUUUGCUAUGAUAUUUCCAAAUAUUAUCCGCAACAUUUAAGCCAGACGGACUUCUCUCUAAAAUAAUCACACAUUUUUUAUUUUUAAAUAAGUAAAGAAAAAAUCGCAUCAUUUAACCGUCAUUUAUUAAUUGACCUUUUUUCUUCAAAAAGUGUCAUGUUUUAAGGAUACUGCGAAUCGUUGUCUUGCUCUUUUAUUCAACACCUGUAACUGAAAGUUUAAUAUCCACAGAUCGCCUUCCCUUAGCAAGAUAUACAGCAUUCUCAUCAGGAUGUUCGAUAAGUUACAUACCUUCCAAAUUGAAGGCGCUUUAUAACUCGCGUAGAAUCCGUGAUUUUACAGUAACCCCGAUGAAUAAGGCAGGCAUGAUACUGCAAAGAAUGCUUACAUUACAGUUGCAUCAAGUGUGAGAUGAAAGUGUCUCUCAAUUUUUCAAAAUAAUUUUGUCUUAAAAUACAAGAUCUUAUAGUCGUAUGGUAACGUAGAGUAAUAAGGCAAAUAGAAAAAGCUAAAAACAUCAUAAUAAUAAACUAAAGUUAAAGUGCCAAACUUCCCUGGAACCUUUCAUUUCACUGUGUCAUUCACUAGAUGAAUCCAACAGUUUGUAACCGCUAUUUAACAAUCUAAUACAUUUUGAUUUAUUUGCAUGAAAUCACAACUACAAGGCAUCACAAACGUAUUGCUCCACGUUUGUCCUAAUCUCAUAGCAGAAUUUUCCGACUCGUUAUAGUAGGAUACAGAACACAUAAUUUAAUUUCCAGUUUUUUAAUAUGAAAGCAUUUACAUAAUUUACUGUACUUCAUACAUAAAAUAAUUUCUCUCGGCAAAAUCAAAUGCUUUAAAUCUUCUACCUUUAGGAUCUGCAGUUCAGUAAAUUUUACAAACAAAUUAUUUGUUCAUGAGCCAACAGUCUUCUAUUUGAAUUGUGGGAUAUGUUAAAUGACAUAAUAUUGUAAUAAGGAGAUAAAAAGUCCAUUUUAUGAACGUAUACAGUAACAUUUGAUCUGGACUUUAAGAGAUAGCGUUGAUAGUCUACGAAUUGAAUUCUGAACGUCCAUUUUUUGCAAUAUUGAUAAGAUUGCAAGAUUAUAGAGGAAAAGAGAAGUUCAAUAAAAUGGUGAGUAUAAUAUAAUCCUACAAAUUGAAAGAGAAAUAGCCAGGACAUUUCAGUCUAACAACGUGCCCAUUCUCAACUCAAAAAAGGAGAAAAAAGAAAAGAAAAACAACUUGAAAUAAAACCAAAACACAUGAUAAGCAUCCAACUGGUCAAGGAUGACAUCAACACUGUCGUUUGCUCUAAUUCUCACCUCGUUAAAUCACAAGCUCGUUCCGUCUUUUAAUUUUUAUUUUCAACUUUAGUUCCAGUUGCGAGUGGGCAUAUGAUUUGCCCGAGACGCCCUGACUGUGUAUAUGUCCAUAUUUUAGUCCUGUGAUAAUAAUUAUUCGAGUCAUUUCUCAGUAUGUUUCCCUUUUAUUUUAUUGUUGAACCGGGCUAUUAUAUCAUGUUUUUCCUAUCACGUUAGGGAAUUUCAUUUGAAAUAAUCAGUGCCUUCAUAUUUAAAAAAAUGUCACGAUAAUUGUUAUCGAUCUUUCAUUUCAUCAGACUCCUUCAAUUUGAAAAUAAAAUAUCAAUCACGAGACAAAUAAAAUUAUUCACAGCAUGAAUCCUCGUCUGCAAUGCUGAUUUUGUCCAUUUCUGAUAUUCAUACGCAGUAUCUAAAAAAAUUUCCAUGUUGAAAAGCAUUAGAGCAUUCCACUCAUUGAGUUCAAUACAUAUUUUUCACACAAAAAUCUGCAUUUCCUUACUAAGAGGUGUAUUCUAAAUCACAUGCUGAAUUAAUGCAUUAAAAAAUGAAACGAGUCCAAAAGUAAUAUAUUACAGAAUUCAAAAACAACCCCUACCCACACUACAUACAUGUCGGAGGUAAAUAGUCAAAUCAGGCAUUUUACCAAAUGCCCAGGCAGAUACUCAACUUUUCAGUGUUUACAAGGUUUCUUAUGUUUUCACAAAUACCUCUCUAAUUUUCAAUAUUUUGAGACUAAAAAUCCGUCAAAGUAGUAACAGUCAUUUAAUUUCCCGUUCAAAAAUGCUCCUCAUAAUUCUUCAACCGCCCAAAUUGUGAAAAAAAAUUAUUUUACGAAAUGCUGCAUGUUUGAGAUAAAUUUGCAUUAAGGACCAGAAAGAACGUAUUUAUUAUCGUAUGGCACAUGUCUUUAAAGGGAAUUCAUUUCCACAUAAUCAAGGAAUUAUUUUGUCUACAGUCAGCAAAGUAAUCAGAAUUUCAGUCUAAGUAAGAAUAUUUGACUAUUUGCCAAGGCAUUUAAGAAAAUGCCUGAUUUGACUAUUUGCCUUCGACACAUGGACGUAUUUAUGCUAAAAGGAUUUAUGUUACACGCCAACCCUAUGCUCAUAGUUCCUUUUAGCAUAUAUAAGUCCAUAUAUACUCACCCUCCUAGACGUGCAUGUAGAUUGGGCAAAAACCAAUCGAAGGAGAGUCGACCAUAGAAAAGAAGUUGGAGGCAAUACAAUUACCUCUCCGCAUCUGGUAUUCGUGCGGUGGGAACAUUAAGCCGGGCGGAAGAUGAAAAAAGUAAUGUUUCACUCGAAAAUACUAUGACGCAGCGGUGAGAUUCGACGUGUAUUUUUGCGAAACUGCCAAACAGUUUAUUUGAUGACUCGCUCGCAUGCACGAUGGACGGGGCACGGGAGCAGCGCACUGAUGCCUGGAUGUAAUAAUGAAAAUGAAAUUAAGUUAAACCGUCGGUAAGCAGGUUCGCUCGCUUUUCAGUAAGGUCCGCGAGGAAGUUAUUAGCUGCGAUUAAAUCAAGGCAGGUUCCAGGCAAUAUGUGAGCAUUUAUACGUAUAUGAAUAAAAUUAUUUUGAGAAAUCACUAUUUUGCGUGCUGUUGCAAUAUUUAUCUUA